AGAGUUUGAUCCUGGCUCAGAUUGAACGCUGGCGGCAUGCCUUACACAUGCAAGUCGAACGGCAGCACGAGAGCUUGCUCUUGGUGGCGAGUGGCGAACGGGUGAGUAAUAUAUCGGAACGUACCCUAGAGUGGGGGAUAACGUAGCGAAAGUUACGCUAAUACCGCAUACGAUCUACGGAUGAAAGUGGGGGAUCGCAAGACCUCAUGCUCAUGGAGCGGCCGAUAUCUGAUUAGCUAGUUGGUGGGGUAAAAGCUCACCAAGGCGACGAUCAGUAGCUGGUCUGAGAGGACGACCAGCCACACUGGAACUGAGACACGGUCCAGACUCCUACGGGAGGCAGCAGUGGGGAAUUUUGGACAAUGGGCGCAAGCCUGAUCCAGCAAUGCCGCGUGAGUGAAGAAGGCCUUCGGGUUGUAAAGCUCUUUUGUCAGGGAAGAAACGGUGGACUCUAAUACAGAUCACUAAUGACGGUACCUGAAGAAUAAGCGCCGGCUAACUACGUGCCAGCAGCCGCGGUAAUACGUAGGGUGCAAGCGUUAAUCGGAAUUACUGGGCGUAAAGCGUGCGCAGGCGGUUGUGCAAGACAGAUGUGAAAUCCCCGGGCUCAACCUGGGAAUUGCAUUUGUGACUGCACGGCUAGAGUGUGUCAGAGGGGGGUAGAAUUCCACGUGUAGCAGUGAAAUGCGUAGAGAUGUGGAGGAAUACCGAUGGCGAAGGCAGCCCCCUGGGAUAACACUGACGCUCAUGCACGAAAGCGUGGGGAGCAAACAGGAUUAGAUACCCUGGUAGUCCACGCCCUAAACGAUGUCUACUAGUUGUCGGGUCUUAAUUGACUUGGUAACGCAGCUAACGCGUGAAGUAGACCGCCUGGGGAGUACGGUCGCAAGAUUAAAACUCAAAGGAAUUGACGGGGACCCGCACAAGCGGUGGAUGAUGUGGAUUAAUUCGAUGCAACGCGAAAAACCUUACCUACCCUUGACAUGUCUGGAAUCCUUGAGAGAUCAGGGAGUGCCCGAAAGAGAAUCAGAACACAGGUGCUGCAUGGCUGUCGUCAGCUCGUGUCGUGAGAUGUUGGGUUAAGUCCCGCAACGAGCGCAACCCUUGUCAUUAGUUGCUACGAAAGGGCACUCUAAUGAGACUGCCGGUGACAAACCGGAGGAAGGUGGGGAUGACGUCAAGUCCUCAUGGCCCUUAUGGGUAGGGCUUCACACGUCAUACAAUGGUACAUACAGAGGGCCGCCAACCCGCGAGGGGGAGCUAAUCCCAGAAAGUGUAUCGUAGUCCGGAUUGUAGUCUGCAACUCGACUACAUGAAGUUGGAAUCGCUAGUAAUCGCGGAUCAGCAUGUCGCGGUGAAUACGUUCCCGGGUCUUGUACACACCGCCCGUCACACCAUGGGAGCGGGUUUCACCAGAAGUGGGUAGCCUAACCGCAAGGAGGGCGCUCACCACGGUGGGAUUCGUGACUGGGGUGAAGUCGUAACAAGGUA
RNAcentral lists this ribosomal RNA (1491 nucleotides) under metagenome. Its description in RNAcentral is "bacterial SSU rRNA". It matches the Rfam family "Bacterial small subunit ribosomal RNA". The record is from RNAcentral.